RNAcentral lists this ribosomal RNA (219 nucleotides) under uncultured bacterium. RNAcentral's name for it is "partial 16S ribosomal RNA". It matches the Rfam family "Bacterial small subunit ribosomal RNA", at positions 524 to 741 of the family's 1533-position model. The record is from RNAcentral.
UACGUAGGGUGCAAGCGUUGUCCGGAAUUAUUGGGCGUAAAGAGCUCGUAGGCGGUCUGUCGCGUCUGCUGUGAAAACUCAGGGCUUAACCCUGAGCUUGCAGUGGGUACGGGCAGACUAGAGUGCGGUAGGGGAGACUGGAAUUCCUGGUGUAGCGGUGAAAUGCGCAGAUAUCAGGAGGAACACCGGUGGCGGAAGGCGGGUCUCUGGACCGUAACU